GGCAUGGCUUGAAAUUUCGGAUCCCUAGAUUUUACACAUCUGCGGACACCUGGUAAUAAUGUCUAUAAUACACCACAUUUGCAGUAUAUAUGACGCUCAUAAUAUCUCACCUGGGCUCAACACACGAGUUGUCUUCUCUGCAGAGAUCUGAAAGAUUUUUCCUCACAGACUCAUCGAUGUGUUCAGGUUCUUCAGAGAGAUUCAUUCUGAAGGCUGUGGUUUCAUUUAAAAGCAGAUGUUUGUCCGCAGAACUCUCCAUCUGUCCAGGGGUUUUUCCUGCCUAUGACCCAGGAAAGCCUCCAGCCUCCAGCCUCCCCAUGACCCUACAUAGGACGAGUCCUUUGGAAAGUGUAUGAAAGAGUAGGUUGGAUGGAUGUACUGUACUGCGAGAGUCCUAGUCCUCCCUCUCUCUGCCACUCUUGCCCCCUCCCCCCAGUCCGCAUCGACUUCU
Sinocyclocheilus grahami is the source of this 451-nucleotide long non-coding RNA. RefSeq lists it as uncharacterized. NCBI's taxonomy places the organism in Eukaryota, Metazoa, Chordata, Actinopteri, Cypriniformes, Cyprinidae. The transcript is spliced from 3 exons. The record is from RefSeq and is a predicted model, not a curated record.